AAUUAAUUCUUAUAAUAAUAACAAUAAUUAAAAAUUAAUAUUUAAUAUCAUUAUUAUUGAAUGAUAAUUUUAUUAUUAUUAUUAUUAUUACUAGUAUUUAGUACAAGUGGUAAAUCACUUGGUGGUCGGUAUUUGAAGUUCUGAGUUUGAAUUAUUAUUAUUCCAGCUAAAUUUAUUUCUAAAAAAAAUAAAUGAAGAGGAUAGCAUCAUGCUAUCUUUCUGAAAAAAAAUAUUAAAUAAUAAUAAUAAUAAUACUAAUUAUUAAAUAUUAAUUUUUAAUAAAUAAUAUUAUAACAAAAAUUAAUUAUUUUUAAAUAUUAGUAGGGUUGGGAGGAGAGAGAGAAAAAAAUUUCUCUCUCCUAGUUAGCAUAUAAAUACUAUUAAAGUUAUCUUUUAUUUUCUAAUUAUUAAAAGAAGGGUAGGUUAGAAAUUUUUUUUAAAAGAUGGCUAGGUUGGGAAUUUUUUUUUCUAAUAAGGCUGUACAUGACAUUAGUUCAUUAAAGGCAGCGUUUGGUUAGGAAAUAGGGAUAGAAAUAGGCCCUUAUCCCCCACUUUAUACCCAAACGUUAAUUUUUUAUCCGAUAAUAGUAGUUCUCGGUUAUCCCCACCAAUACCUUCAUUUUCUAUAUAAAAUUACUUAAAAUUGUUCUUAUCCUCGGGAACAACCCAAUCUUCAUCCAAACACUAUUUUUUUUAUCCUCAUACUUGUAUUUAUUCUUGUAAUAGUUAAUUCUUGCUUAUACCUGGACCAAACGGUGCCUAAAAAGUUGGAAAUCGA
RNAcentral lists this long non-coding RNA (778 nucleotides) under Ananas comosus (pineapple). Its description in RNAcentral is "long non-coding RNA (ACOM_LNC004788)". The record is from RNAcentral. Lineage: Eukaryota; Viridiplantae; Streptophyta; Magnoliopsida; Poales; Bromeliaceae.